AGCAGCCGCGGUAAUUCCAGCUCCAAUAGCGUAUAUUAAAGUUGUUGCAGUUAAAAAGCUCGUAGUUGAAUUUCGGGAUCAAGUCGUCGGUCGUGCUCAGGUACGUACUGGCGUCAUUGAUUUCUCCCUUCUGACGAACCAUGAUGUCAUUAAUUUGGUGUUAUGGGAAAUCAGGACUGUUACUUUGAAAAAAUUAGAGUGUUUAAAGCAGGCUCACGCUUGAAUACAUUAGCAUGGAAUAAUGAAAUAGGACGUUCGAUCCUAUUUUGUUGGUUUAGGAUCAACGUAAUGAUUAAUAGGGAUAGUUGGGGGCAUUAGUAUUCAAUUGUCAGAGGUGAAAUUCUUGGAUUUAUUGAAGACUAACUACUGCGAAAGCAUUUGCCAAGGAUGUUUUCAUUAAUCAAGAACGAAAGUUAGGGGAUCGAAGACGAUCAGAUACCGUCGUAGUCUUAACCAUAAACUAUGCCGACUAGGGAUCGGAUGAUGUUAAUUUUUUAAUGACUCAUUCGGCGCCUUACGG
This 520-nucleotide ribosomal RNA is filed under the name uncultured Glomus. Its description in RNAcentral is "SSU rRNA". It matches the Rfam family "Eukaryotic small subunit ribosomal RNA", at positions 569 to 1093 of the family's 1831-position model. Lineage: Eukaryota; Fungi; Glomeromycota; Glomeromycetes; Glomerales; Glomeraceae. The record is from RNAcentral.